CACUCCGGUGGUCUAGUGAUGAGAGCGUCCGCCUCGGAUGCGGGAGGUCGUGGGUUUGAUCCUCGGCUGAGUCG
Non-coding RNA from Potamilus streckersoni, 74 nucleotides. Lineage: Eukaryota; Metazoa; Mollusca; Bivalvia; Unionida; Unionidae. The record is from the annotation of a GenBank genome assembly.